This is a long non-coding RNA of Gallus gallus (chicken), 476 nucleotides long. Lineage: Eukaryota; Metazoa; Chordata; Aves; Galliformes; Phasianidae. The record is from Ensembl.
UGGACUUGAACCUUGCAGGAAGACAGUUAUGAAGUACAAUGCACCAGUUCUACUUGUGACAACUUUCAGCUCAGACUAUGAAUAUUAGGACUGCAACAAUUCAAUGGCUAUUGUCUGCCAUAUCAGAUAGUGACAUUAAACACCUUUUAUCCAUGGUUUAUCCUAGGUGAUGUCUUCUUGGCUUCUUGUCAAACCUGGCACAGCCCUACCUUUUGCAGCAUCCAGAUUGAAUUGAUGACUGAGACAACUUACAUGAUUGAGUAGAAGUACACUUACUGGAACUGACCUGUGUUCAGGUCUCAAAACUGAUUUACAGUUCUUUCAAAGUUUGACCCAAGAUUUGAGAGCUACAGGAAGGCAAGGCCAAGGAAAACAGCCCAAAUCUGUAUUUUUCAGAUCUUUGCAAGAUCCGGAAACGACUGGGACAGAACUCGUGCUGUGAUGUGAGGGAGCUCAAGCUUAAUGAUGAAACCUGG